This 2781-nucleotide ribosomal RNA is filed under the name Escherichia coli. RNAcentral describes it as "bacterial LSU rRNA". It matches the Rfam family "Bacterial large subunit ribosomal RNA". Lineage: Bacteria; Pseudomonadati; Pseudomonadota; Gammaproteobacteria; Enterobacterales; Enterobacteriaceae. The record is from RNAcentral.
CACACUAUCAUUAACUGAAUCCAUAGGUUAAUGAGGCGAACCGGGGGAACUGAAACAUCUAAGUACCCCGAGGAAAAGAAAUCAACCGAGAUUCCCCCAGUAGCGGCGAGCGAACGGGGAGGAGCCCAGAGCCUGAAUCAGUGUGUGUGUUAGUGGAAGCGUCUGGAAAGGCGCGCGAUACAGGGUGACAGCCCCGUACACAAAAAUGCACAUGCUGUGAGCUCGAUGAGUAGGGCGGGACACGUGGUAUCCUGUCUGAAUAUGGGGGGACCAUCCUCCAAGGCUAAAUACUCCUGACUGACCGAUAGUGAACCAGUACCGUGAGGGAAAGGCGAAAAGAACCCCGGCGAGGGGAGUGAAAAAGAACCUGAAACCGUGUACGUACAAGCAGUGGGAGCACAGAGCAAUCUGUGUGACUGCGUACCUUUUGUAUAAUGGGUCAGCGACUUAUAUUCUGUAGCAAGGUUAACCGAAUAGGGGAGCCGAAGGGAAACCGAGUCUUAACUGGGCGUUAAGUUGCAGGGUAUAGACCCGAAACCCGGUGAUCUAGCCAUGGGCAGGUUGAAGGUUGGGUAACACUAACUGGAGGACCGAACCGACUAAUGUUGAAAAAUUAGCGGAUGACUUGUGGCUGGGGGUGAAAGGCCAAUCAAACCGGGAGAUAGCUGGUUCUCCCCGAAAGCUAUUUAGGUAGCGCCUCGUGAAUUCAUCUCCGGGGGUAGAGCACUGUUUCGGCAAGGGGGUCAUCCCGACUUACCAACCCGAUGCAAACUGCGAAUACCGGAGAAUGUUAUCACGGGAGACACACGGCGGGUGCUAACGUCCGUCGUGAAGAGGGAAACAACCCAGACCGCCAGCUAAGGUCCCAAAGUCAUGGUUAAGUGGGAAACGAUGUGGGAAGGCCCAGACAGCCAGGAUGUUGGCUUAGAAGCAGCCAUCAUUUAAAGAAAGCGUAAUAGCUCACUGGUCGAGUCGGCCUGCGCGGAAGAUGUAACGGGGCUAAACCAUGCACCGAAGCUGCGGCAGCGACACUAUGUGUUGUUGGGUAGGGGAGCGUUCUGUAAGCCUGUGAAGGUGUGCUGUGAGGCAUGCUGGAGGUAUCAGAAGUGCGAAUGCUGACAUAAGUAACGAUAAAGCGGGUGAAAAGCCCGCUCGCCGGAAGACCAAGGGUUCCUGUCCAACGUUAAUCGGGGCAGGGUGAGUCGACCCCUAAGGCGAGGCCGAAAGGCGUAGUCGAUGGGAAACAGGUUAAUAUUCCUGUACUUGGUGUUACUGCGAAGGGGGGACGGAGAAGGCUAUGUUGGCCGGGCGACGGUUGUCCCGGUUUAAGCGUGUAGGCUGGUUUUCCAGGCAAAUCCGGAAAAUCAAGGCUGAGGCGUGAUGACGAGGCACUACGGUGCUGAAGCAACAAAUGCCCUGCUUCCAGGAAAAGCCUCUAAGCAUCAGGUAACAUCAAAUCGUACCCCAAACCGACACAGGUGGUCAGGUAGAGAAUACCAAGGCGCUUGAGAGAACUCGGGUGAAGGAACUAGGCAAAAUGGUGCCGUAACUUCGGGAGAAGGCACGCUGAUAUGUAGGUGAAGCGACUUGCUCGUGGAGCUGAAAUCAGUCGAAGAUACCAGCUGGCUGCAACUGUUUAUUAAAAACACAGCACUGUGCAAACACGAAAGUGGACGUAUACGGUGUGACGCCUGCCCGGUGCCGGAAGGUUAAUUGAUGGGGUUAGCGCAAGCGAAGCUCUUGAUCGAAGCCCCGGUAAACGGCGGCCGUAACUAUAACGGUCCUAAGGUAGCGAAAUUCCUUGUCGGGUAAGUUCCGACCUGCACGAAUGGCGUAAUGAUGGCCAGGCUGUCUCCACCCGAGACUCAGUGAAAUUGAACUCGCUGUGAAGAUGCAGUGUACCCGCGGCAAGACGGAAAGACCCCGUGAACCUUUACUAUAGCUUGACACUGAACAUUGAGCCUUGAUGUGUAGGAUAGGUGGGAGGCUUGGAAGUGUGGACGCCAGUCUGCAUGGAGCCGACCUUGAAAUACCACCCUUUAAUGUUUGAUGUUCUAACGUUGACCCGUAAUCCGGGUUGCGGACAGUGUCUGGUGGGUAGUUUGACUGGGGCGGUCUCCUCCUAAAGAGUAACGGAGGAGCACGAAGGUUGGCUAAUCCUGGUCGGACAUCAGGAGGUUAGUGCAAUGGCAUAAGCCAGCUUGACUGCGAGCGUGACGGCGCGAGCAGGUGCGAAAGCAGGUCAUAGUGAUCCGGUGGUUCUGAAUGGAAGGGCCAUCGCUCAACGGAUAAAAGGUACUCCGGGGAUAACAGGCUGAUACCGCCCAAGAGUUCAUAUCGACGGCGGUGUUUGGCACCUCGAUGUCGGCUCAUCACAUCCUGGGGCUGAAGUAGGUCCCAAGGGUAUGGCUGUUCGCCAUUUAAAGUGGUACGCGAGCUGGGUUUAGAACGUCGUGAGACAGUUCGGUCCCUAUCUGCCGUGGGCGCUGGAGAACUGAGGGGGGCUGCUCCUAGUACGAGAGGACCGGAGUGGACGCAUCACUGGUGUUCGGGUUGUCAUGCCAAUGGCACUGCCCGGUAGCUAAAUGCGGAAGAGAUAAGUGCUGAAAGCAUCUAAGCACGAAACUUGCCCCGAGAUGAGUUCUCCCUGACUCCUUGAGAGUCCUGAAGGAACGUUGAAGACGACGACGUUGAUAGGCCGGGUGUGUAAGCGCAGCGAUGCGUUGAGCUAACCGGUACUAAUGAACCGUGAGGCUUAACCUUACAACGCCGAAGGUGUUU